RNAcentral lists this ribosomal RNA (406 nucleotides) under uncultured bacterium. Its description in RNAcentral is "partial 16S ribosomal RNA". It matches the Rfam family "Bacterial small subunit ribosomal RNA", at positions 29 to 526 of the family's 1533-position model. The record is from RNAcentral.
AUUGAACGCUGGCGGCAUGCCUAACACAUGCAAGUCGAACGAGUGGCGGACGGGUGAGUAAUGUAUGGGAAACUGCCCGAAGGAGGGGGAUAACUACUGGAAACGGUAGCUAAUACCGCAUACCAUCGGGUGGGCCCCGAUGGGAGUAGCUAGUAGGGGGGGUAACGGCUCACCUAGGCGACGCUCCCUAGCUGGUCUGAGAGGAUGACCAGCCACACUGGAACUGAGACACGGUCCAGACUCCGACGGGAGGCAGCAGUGGGGAAUAUUGGACAAUGGGCGAAAGCCUGAUGCAGCCAUGCCGCGUGUAUGAAGAAGGCCUUCGGGUUGUAAAGUACUUUCAGCGAGGAGGCGUUACUCGCAGAAGAAGCACCGGCUAACUCCGUGCCAGCAGCCGCGGUAAUAC